This 402-nucleotide ribosomal RNA is filed under the name uncultured bacterium. RNAcentral describes it as "bacterial SSU rRNA". It matches the Rfam family "Bacterial small subunit ribosomal RNA", at positions 355 to 774 of the family's 1533-position model. The record is from RNAcentral.
UGGGGAAUAUUGGACAAUGGGCGCAAGCCUGAUCCAGCCAUGCCGCGUGAGUGAUGAAGGCCUUAGGGUUGUAAAGCUCUUUCGCGCGCGACGAUAAUGACGGUAGCGCGAGAAGAAGCCCCGGCUAACUUCGUGCAAGCAGCCGCGGUAAUACGAAGGGGGCUAGCGUUGUUCGGAAUCACUGGGCGUACAGCGCAUGCAGGCGGAUCGUUAAGUCGGGGGUGAAAUCCCGAGGCUCAACCUCGGAACUGCCUUCGAUACUGGCGAUCUUGAGUCCGGGAGAGGUGGGUGGAACUGCGAGUGUAGAGGUGAAAUUCGUAGAUAUUCGCAAGAACACCAGUGGCGAAGGCGGCUCACUGGCCCGGUACUGACGCUCAGGUGCGAAAGCGUGGGGAGCAAACA